Molecule: ribosomal RNA, 468 nt
Filed under: uncultured bacterium
Lineage: Bacteria
Description: partial 16S ribosomal RNA
Rfam family: Bacterial small subunit ribosomal RNA
Source: RNAcentral
GACGAACGCUGGCGGCGUGCUUAACACAUGCCAGUCGAACGGUAAGGCCCUGCUUUUGUGGGGUGCUCGAGUGGCGAACGGGUGAGUAACACUUUAGUAACCUGCCCUUGACUUUGGGAUAACUUCAGGAAACUGGGGCUAUUACCGGAUAGGAGCUCCUGCUGCAUGGUGGGGGUUGGAAAGUUUCGGCGGUUGGGGAUGGACUCGCGGCUUAUCAGCUUGUUGGUGGGGUAGUGGCUUACCAAGGCUUUGACGGGUAGCCGGCCUGAGAGGGUGACCGGACACAUUGGGACUGAGAUACGGCCCAGACUACUACGGGAGGCAGCAGUGGGGAAUAUUGCACAAUGGGCGGAAGCCGGAUGCAGCAACGCAGCGUGAGGGAUGACGGACUUCGGGUUGUAAACCGCUUUCGCCUGGGACGAAGCGUGAGUGACGGUAAUGGGUAAAGAAGCACCGGCUAACUACGUG